AAGCUUUGUUAUAGUGGUGUGGCAUGAAAUAAUACAAGCUACGUGAUCAUUAUUCUUUAAAAUGGGUUUUUACAACGUAGGUCGUCGGAGAAGAGACGGAGAUGCGGGCGGACGUUGGAGGCAGACGGCAUCCAGUUGUUGAGAAGAGUUGAAGGCGGGGAGCAGGCAGGAGCAGUAACAGAAACAGAAAAAGAGAUAGACGAUUUUAAUAGAACAGCUUCUCUUUUGUAAUCUACAAUACCUGUAUCUCUGACAUAACGUCGUUCAUUUUUAAGCUUGAUUUUCAUGUAUCUCAUGUGCUUCGGUAAUUAAAUUUCUUUAUUAUUUUAUAUAAUUAUUUAAUAGUUCAAAACGUUAUCUUGAAGAAGCAAGAAGGGAAGGAACGAGACGAUAAAAAAAAAAAGAAAGAAAAAUAAAAAAAGAUAAAGGAAAAAAUAAAGGAAAAAACAAUAUAGAAAAUAAACAAAGAACAUAAUGAUAACAUGAACGAAUAUUUAUGUAUUGGUUAAAAAAAUAAAAAAAAAAAAAAUAAAAAAAUAAGAAAAAGAAAAAGUUUUUUCUUUUCUAAAUAAAAUUUACACAGUAUUCUUUUUCUCACUUCUUUAGAAUAACAUUCUAAUUAUCAUUCAGACUUUUUUUUCCAUUUAUAUAUUUUCUAUUUUCUAUUUAUAAUAUACUCUUGUAUUUUUUGUAAAAUUUGGAGAAUAUGGAAAAUAAUAAAUUAAAUCCGUUGCAUAAGAGAACAAAUAAAUCAAGCUUUAAUUUUGAAAGUGGUAUGCUUAUAACAGAGCGAUCUGCUUCUUAGCGAUAUACAGCUCGGAAAAAUAGUUAAGUAGUAAUUUGUGCCAGAUAACAAUAGAAAAUAAUAGCCGUUAGAAUUUCGUGCAUAGCCUGACCAUAUUAAAGAUUUCAAUGAGGGACAGAUUUGCAGAUAGAAAAUUGACCGAAAGUUAGUUUUUAAUAAAUUCAUUCUAAUAAAUUCAGUCGUAUGUUGAUUUUUGUAUAUAUUGAUUUUUUGUAUUCAAAAAAAAAAAA
This is a long non-coding RNA of Vespa mandarinia (Asian giant hornet), 1035 nucleotides long. NCBI's taxonomy places the organism in Eukaryota, Metazoa, Arthropoda, Insecta, Hymenoptera, Vespidae. The record is from RefSeq and is a predicted model, not a curated record.